AUUGAACGCUGGCGGCAGGCCUAACACAUGCAAGUCGAGCGGAUGAAGGGAGCUUGCUCCUGGCUUCAGCGGCGGACGGGUGAGUAAUGCCUAGGAAUCUGCCUGGUAGUGGGGGAUAACGUCCGGAAACGGGCGCUAAUACCGCAUACGUCCUGAGGGAGAAAGUGGGGGAUCUUCGGACCUCACGCUAUCAGAUGAGCCUAGGUCGGAUUAGCUAGUUGGUGGGGUAAAGGCCUACCAAGGCGACGAUCCGUAACUGGUCUGAGAGGAUGAUCGGUCACACUGGAACUGAGACACGGUCCAGACUCCUACGGGAGGCAGCAGUAGGGAAUAUUGGACAAUGGGCGAAAGCCUGAUCCAGCCAUGCCGCGUGAGUGAAGAAGGUCUUCGGAUUGUAAAGCACUUUAAGUUGGGAGGAAGGGCAGUAAGUUAAUACCUUGCUGUUUUGACGUUACCAACAGAAUAAGCACCGGCUAACUUCGUG
RNAcentral lists this ribosomal RNA (484 nucleotides) under uncultured bacterium. RNAcentral describes it as "partial 16S ribosomal RNA". It matches the Rfam family "Bacterial small subunit ribosomal RNA", at positions 30 to 507 of the family's 1533-position model. The record is from RNAcentral.